UCGUAAGUGUGUUCUUGAAUCUAAACAAUUGAAUAUCUUGCAAUCUAUUACACUCUUGCUUAUGGAGGAUAUUUUUCUGGACGAAAAACUAUGACCAAAGUAUUGUAAAGUGGUUUUUACUGGUCCACAUUAUUUAAAGAUGCUUAUACUUUUAGCCAACAAUAUCUUAGGUGUCAAGUUUUAGGAAACAUUUCAAAGAAAGAUAUGAUACCUU
RNAcentral lists this long non-coding RNA (214 nucleotides) under Elaeis guineensis (African oil palm). Its description in RNAcentral is "long non-coding RNA (EGUI_LNC046804)". Lineage: Eukaryota; Viridiplantae; Streptophyta; Magnoliopsida; Arecales; Arecaceae. The record is from RNAcentral.